Pseudopipra pipra is the source of this 1622-nucleotide long non-coding RNA. RefSeq lists it as uncharacterized. The record is from RefSeq and is a predicted model, not a curated record. The transcript has 4 exons. Lineage: Eukaryota; Metazoa; Chordata; Aves; Passeriformes; Pipridae.
AAUAGAUAGCCUUGAGUGUGUCCUUGUUCCACCAGUAGGCCUUGCCAAAGUCCCCAUAUUCCAGGAGAUAUGCCUAUUGAAGUUUAAAAUGAUCUCCAUAAUCCUUUGUUGUCUUGAGGCUCUCCCCUGCAGGAACUCCAGGAACUCCUGGUGCCGCCUGGGCCGAUGGAUUGGACGCCCCAGCCCCUCCGUUCCUGCCCAGCCACUGGGUCCGUGUCCAGUGGUGGCACUGCCAGCCCUGCAGUGGGAUGUAACCUGGAAAAUGCACAGAGCUGAGCCAAGGGAUUGAAAGGGACCAACCAAGGGAGGUUAAGAAGGGAAGUGAGGCAGCAGGCAAGCAGCACCAAGUUGCUGUGUAAACAGGUGAGUUGUGUUGAGGUUCCUAAGGCAGGCACUGAGGACUUUGAGGGCUCCAGACAGAGCAGACCUGGGAAGGCCCUCGGUGAAGCCCCUUGGAAACCUUCUAAGGGUAGGUGUGUAUGGUAAUGAGUGUUGGAAAAUGUCCUGUAUGUGGAACAGGAAUGCAGGGAAGGAAAAUGAAUCCUCCUGUAAUGCUGCCAUAUCAGCUGCAGUGGAGAUAGCUCUGUGUGCCCUUUGGGAGCUUAUUGCCAGGACUCGUAGUGGGCUGGAAUGAUUCAAGAGCGUAGGAAUAAAAGAUUGCCUGGCUUCUAAAACUCAUCAAUUGAGUCUCAGAGGUUCUUGUAUGAAAUUUUAGGUAACACCUGAACUUUUGUGUGUACUUCUGAGUUCAGCUGGAAAGAGAUUGUCCAGGGAAGAGGAAUCUUGCUCAGUGCAAGAAGUUGCACUUGGUGAACUUCCCAUCUGAGCUGAUGCCCUUGGCAGGAGAAGUGCUAAGCAAGGAGGCUCUUUGCUCCUAGGCAGGAAGAAAGGUCAGUGCCCUUCCUCCCCAAGGCCCAGCCCAGCAGGGCUGGCAGGAGCUGCUGGUGUGGCUGCUCUUUGGGUUCUCAGCUGUGGCUGUGGGGUGGUGACAUCGUGUUCCUGCCUGUGCUCCAGGGCAGCCAAAAGCCCCAGCCCAGCCCCUGGGCCUUUCUGGGAGCCUGAGCUAUUGCAGUACUGGGGAUGGGGGUUUGGGUUUUUGUUUCCCUAAAAGUAGAACCAUUGGGGGGGAUCUCUUAUCUCACAGUUGUUGUUGUUUUGAUAUCUUAAUUAAUUACAACUUGAGAAGAAAAGCUUUUGUAACUUAGCAACUGACUUGCACUGGUUACACUGAAAGUGCCAAGGAGUUGUAGUGUCCACUGGAUUGUUUGUAUUGAAGCAGUUUGGUGUUUACAGAGGGAUAAUAACUCCUGUCAGCAGUAAGGUCCUGACUGAAGUGGCAGCUGCAGUUGUUCCUGUGGUGUGGGCCAGUGGAAUUCCAAGAAAAUGGACAAGGACAGAACCUGCAGAAGAGCCCAGGCCUGAGCUGGCUGAGUGUUGGUGUGAGCCAGAGUGGGUGUCCCUGCCCUGGGGCCAGUCCCCAGAGCUGCCUUUGGCAUCCCCUGCUGAAGGGUGGGAGCUGCCCAGAGCCAGCAGCAUCCAGCUGGAGGAUCCAGGAGGAUGCAGCUCUGCUUUGCUGGGAGCUUGUCCAGGAGAUGGAAUUCCAGUGCUACAGUCUGGGUGGG